UAGCGGUGAAAUGCGUUGAUCCCUGGGGGACCACCUGUGGCGAAGGCGCCCGGCUGGAACGGGUCCGACGGUGAGGGACGAAGGCCGGGGGAGCAAACCGGAUUAGAUACCCGGGUAGUCCCGGCUGUAAACUCUGCGGACUAGGUGUCGCGUCGGCUUCGGGCCGGCGCGGUGCCGAAGGGAAGCCGUUAAGUCCGCCGCCUGGGGAGUACGGUCGCAAGACUGAAACUUAAAGGAAUUGGCGGGGGAGCACUACAACGGGUGGAGCCUGCGGUUUAAUUGGAUUCAACGCCGGGCAUCUUACCAGGGGCGACGGCAGGAUGAAGGCCAGGUUGACGACCUUGCCAGACGCGCCGAGAGGUGGUGCAUGGCCGUCGUCAGCUCGUACCGUGAGGCGUCCUGUUAAGUCAGGUAACGAGCGAGACCCGUGCCCCAUGUUGCCAUCCCCUCCUCCGGGAGGGGGGCACUCAUGGGGGACCGCCGGCGAAAAGCCGGAGGAAGGUGCGGGCAACGACAGGUCCGCAUGCCCCGAAUCCCCUGGGCUACACGCGGGCUACAAUGGCCGGGACAAUGGGAUGCGACCCCGAAAGGGGGAGCAAAUCCCCUAAACCCGGUCGUAGUCCGGAUCGAGGGCUGUAACUCGCCCUCGUGAAGCCGGAAUCCGUAGUAAUCGCGCCUCA
This 680-nucleotide ribosomal RNA is filed under the name uncultured archaeon. Its description in RNAcentral is "bacterial SSU rRNA". It matches the Rfam family "Archaeal small subunit ribosomal RNA", at positions 627 to 1307 of the family's 1478-position model. The record is from RNAcentral.